RNAcentral lists this ribosomal RNA (274 nucleotides) under uncultured bacterium. RNAcentral's name for it is "partial 16S ribosomal RNA". It matches the Rfam family "Bacterial small subunit ribosomal RNA", at positions 523 to 796 of the family's 1533-position model. The record is from RNAcentral.
AUACGGAGGGGGCUAGCGUUGUUCGGAAUUACUGGGCGUAAAGCGCGCGUAGGCGGAUUGAUCAGUCAGGGGUGAAAUCCCGAGGCUUAACCUCGGAACUGCCUUUGAUACUGUCAAUCUUGAGUUCGAGAGAGGUGAGUGGAAUUCCUAGUGUAGAGGUGAAAUUCGUAGAUAUUAGGAAGAACACCAGUGGCGAAGGCGGCUCACUGGCUCGAUACUGACGCUGAGGUGCGAAAGCGUGGGGAGCAAACAGGAUUAGAAACCCCUGUAGUCC